AGUAUCUAGAAAAUAAAUUUUAUGACAUUUUACGAUAUCAUUUGCCUAGUGAACGAAGGGGCUCAAAAUCAACGGCUGAAAAUAAAAAUCUUACAAAAUGUAAUAAUAUGACAUUAAAAUUUUAAAUCAAAGAUAUUGAUCUUGUUUUAUAUAGUAUAAAGAAUUUUUUAUCAAAAUUUCACGUGAUUUGGAUAUUUCUACACCGUUAAACUUGCAAACGGCUUACUACGGCCAUUGAAAUUUGUUGAUUUUGAGCCCAUUCGAUCACUAGGCAAAUGAUAUCGAAAAAUAAUAAAAUUUAUUUUCUAGGUACUCCAAAUACUCUAGAUCAAGUUUAACGGAGCCGAUCGACGAUUCGAAAGUCGCAACAUCGAAAACGAGCUGGAAGCACGGAAGGCUCCGUGCUUCUGAUAGCAUAGUAGCCUCACUCUAUAUAUAUAUAUAUGGUGUAGAGCUACUAUACUAUCGGAAGUGUAAAGGAUUUGAAACUUUCGAUUUUUUGAUCCUUGGAUCAAGGAUUAUACGGUUGGGAUGAUUGCGGUCCCCCUAGGGUCGAGUAGUAUCUCUAGGGUUGAGUAGUCCUUACUGGGUAAUAGUAUUAAUCCAAAGGUUAAAAAAUAAUCAAAGGGGCUGAUCUAAGGGUCAAAAAGUCGGAAGCACCAGAUUAUCUAUGCUUCCGAUAGUAUAGUAACUCUACUAUAUAUA
RNAcentral lists this long non-coding RNA (705 nucleotides) under Ananas comosus (pineapple). Its description in RNAcentral is "long non-coding RNA (ACOM_LNC019837)". Lineage: Eukaryota; Viridiplantae; Streptophyta; Magnoliopsida; Poales; Bromeliaceae. The record is from RNAcentral.